Molecule: RNA transcript, 4525 nt
Organism: Mizuhopecten yessoensis (Yesso scallop)
Lineage: Eukaryota; Metazoa; Mollusca; Bivalvia; Pectinida; Pectinidae
Gene name: alanine aminotransferase 1-like
Exons: 14
Source: RefSeq, a predicted model, not a curated record
UUUGUUACAUCCGGUUUCAUAUCAACAUUUCAGCGACACGUUUUUUACGCUGAUUCUUGUAGUUUAUUGCAGUUAAAUAAGUUGAAAGUGACUGAACUUCAACGUUUAUAUGUGAGACGCCCCGUGCAUGCUACGACAGUCGUCAGAAUGCUUCGGAACUACUCUUUACGACUGUGUCGAAUUUCACCCGUUUGUCCUCUGGCUCGGGUCUCUGGAGCUGUGUCAGGUAAACAACUAGGAAGUCACAGAUGUUUCCACCCACAAACACCAUGUCGUGCCAAAGUAUUGACAGUAGACAACAUGAACCCUCAUCUGAAGGCUAUGGAAUAUGCUGUACGCGGUCCGAUUGUCAUUAUGGCUGGCAAAAUAGAAGAGGAACUGAUUGCUGGUGUGAAGAAGCCUUUCCCAAAUGUGAUCAGAGCCAAUAUUGGGGAUUGUCAUGCCACAGGACAACCACCCAUUACAUUCCUCAGACAGGUGGUGGCUUUAUGUACAGAUCCAGCUAUGCUGAUGACAGACCCACGAUAUCCAUCAGACGCCAAGGAACGUGCUCAGCGAGUCCUCGACAGCUGUGGUGGUAGCAGUAUAGGUGCCUACAGUGACAGUUCUGGUGUUCUGGCAGUGCGUGAGGACAUUGCUAACUACAUUCAGGAGCGAGACGGUAUCCCAGCCUCCUCUAAUGAUAUAUUCCUGUGUACAGGUGCUAGUGAUGGUAUUAAGACCAUAAUGAAGAUGUUGAUGACUGGAGAAUCUGGGCGUGGUCAAGCGGGGGUGAUGAUUCCCAUCCCCCAGUACCCUCUAUACACAGCCACUAUAGCAGAGUACAAUGCAUAUCCUAUAAAAUAUUACAUGGAUGAGGACAAGAACUGGGCCCUAGAUAUAAACGAGCUGAAGAGAUCAAUUGAUGAAGCGAGACCAAACUGUAAACCUAGAGCCAUUGUUAUCAUCAACCCUGGUAACCCUACAGGUUCAGUUUUAUCCAGACAAAAUAUAGAAGAUGUGAUAAAGUUUGCCAAGGAUGAAGGACUUUUUAUUUUAGCUGAUGAGGUGUAUCAACACAACGUGUAUGCAGAGGGAGCAGCCUUCCACUCGUUUAAGAAGGUAAUGACAGAGUUGGGAGGAGAAUACAAGGACAUGGAGCUUGCAUCCUUCAUGUCAGUUUCCAAGGGAUACAUGGGAGAAUGUGGAUUUAGAGGAGGUUACUGUGAGGUCAUUAACCUUGACCCCGAGGUUAAAGUUCAACAACUGAAAUCAAUUUCAGCAAAAUUGUGUUCUUCUGUUGCUGGUCAGGCGGCCAUGGAUGUUGUAGUAAACCCGCCACGCCCAGGAGAGCCUUCAUACGACCUGUUCAUGAAGGAGAAAAACAAGGUUCUGAAUGAUCUGAAAGUGAAAGCCAACAUGGUGACAGAGACAUUUAAUAGCAUGGAGAGGUUUUCAUGUAACGAAGUGAAGGGAGCCAUGUAUGCAUUCCCACAAAUACAUAUGCCAGAGUCAGCUCUACAUGCUGCUAAGGCCAUGGGGAAGCCUGCUGAUGUGAUGUACUGUGAGGAUUUGCUACAACAGACUGGGAUAUGUGUGGUUCCUGGAUCUGGAUUCGGACAGAGACCUGGCACAUAUCAUUUCAGGACCACGAUUCUUCCUACUGUUGAACAACUUGCGGAUAUGCUGGAACGGUUCAAGGUCUUUCACAAAGGAUUUCUACAAAACUAUAAGUAAAGGAUUUCUACAAAACUAUAAGUAAAGGAUUUCUACAAAAAUGUAGGUGAAGGAUUUCUACAAAACUAUAAGUAAAGGAUUUCAACAAAAGUAUAAGUAAAGGAUUUCUACAGAAAUUUAGGUGAAGGAUUUUUACAGAAGUAUAAGUAAAGGAUUUCUACAAAAGUAUAAGUAUAAUGUGUAUCGAAAUCUGUGUAUAUUGUUUUUAAAUAUAUUUUUAUUUCAAAAUGUAAACACUCGAUUAAGCAAUAUAUGCAUGUACCAAAUACAUCAAUUAUUAUUUCUUUCAUAUAAACUUAACCGAAAAAAUAUUAAUUUUAAUUACAGUGCGUUUCGAUUUAUACAGAAGCUGAAAUGCUGUCAUUUAUUCGAUUUAGGAUGUAAACACGACAUUUUCCCGACAUUCAAAGAGUAUUUACCCAUGUGCUCGAGAUAAGACAUCAGUAUAUUCCUUUUUUGCGAUGUUCAUCGAAAGUGUUUUAUUUUCAAAAAAAGAUGCAAGGAACUCUCCUAAUGGAUCAACAUAUCAGGUCAUCUGUAAACAAUUAUACAUGUCGGGAAAUAUUUAUACAUGUCGGGAAAUAUUUAUACAUGUCGGGAAAUAUUUAUACAUGUCGGGAACUGUUGUAGUUUACAUGACAAGUAAUGCUGUAACACAUGACAAUGUUUAUAUCCUAUGUUACAAUUUGUUCCUUUUUUUCUCUUGGUUCAUAUUUUUGACUGUUUGCGAAAACAAAUUAUGAACUUCUCAACAUUGUAAUCAUAAAUAGUGUGUGAAAAACUGGUUUAACUUCAGAAUACUGUAGAAGUACUGUAAAUGACGUAUUGUGUAUUACUGUAGAGGUACUGUAAAUGACGUAUUGUGUAUUACUGUAGAAGUACUGUAAAUGACGUAUUGUGUAUUACUGUAGAGGUACUGUAAAUGACGUAUUGUGUAUUACUGUAGAAGUACUGUAAAUGACGUAUUUUGUAUUACUGUAGAGGUACUGUAAAUGACGUAUUUUGUAUUACUGUAGAGGUACUGUAAAUGACGUAUUUUGUAUUACUGUAGAGGUACUGUAAAUGACUUAUUGUGUUUUACUGUAGAAGUACUAUAACUGACGUAUUGUGUAUUACUGUAGAGGUACUGUAAAUGACGUAUUGUGUUUUACUGUAGAAGUACUAUAAAUGACGUAUUGUGUAUUACUGUAGAAGUACUGUAAAUGACGUAUGGUGUAUUACUGUAGAAGUACUGUAAAUGACGUAUUGUGUAUUACUGUAGAAGUACUGUAAAUGACGUAUUGUGUAUUACUGUAGAAGUACUGUAAAUGACGUAUUGUGUAUUACUGUAGAGGUACUGUAAAUUACUGUAGAGGUACUUUUGAUGACAUAUUGUGUUUUACUGCUGCAAAUGACCAAAUAGAGUAUGCUGCCUGUUGGAAAUGCAUGUACCUGAUGUUCACGCUUCAAAUUUUUAUGCGAAUUAUGCAUAAGGUAUGCACAAAAUGAAUUAAAUAAAUUUGUUUUAAAAUGUUAUCAGUAUUAUCAGUAAACACGAGUUGACUGUUAAGCACUUAUGAUAUUUUUACACAGUUGAUUUAAAUGUCUAUAGUUUUAUAUACCUGAGUUGACUGUUAAUUUCACAUAGUUUUAUUCAACUGAAAUGAUUGAAGAUACAUGUACCAUAGUUUUGUUUAUAGGUAAACUGUUAAGUACCUAUAUAAUUUGUUUAUAGGUAAACUGUUAAGUACCUAUAUAUUUUGUUUAUCUGAGUCGACUGUUAAGUUGUUGUUUUUUGCUAGCACCAAAGCACGUUUUUUUUGUUACCAUGUUUUACACAAGUUAAUGUAAAAAUGUAUAACGUGAUUGUUUUCGAAUUUUCUUGUGUGCUUUUCAUUUAAAACUGCUUUUCCAUUGCUCUGCAAACCUUUUUUCUAUUCUCCCAAAAUAGCAGUUAAACUUUCUUUCUAUGAAUGAAGUCGUCACCAACUGGCUUACUAUCAUUUUAAGGUAUUUUAGAUCACACGAGAAAUGUUAGAUCUGCAUGAUAAACAUUGCAGGAACACUUUGAUAAUGUUCUUAUUCCACAAACUUGCAUGGGUAUAACGCCAUCUGAUGUUGACUUCCUCUUAUUAGUUAGAUUAAUUUACUUUUGAGACUUUCAAUUGUAUACAGUGAGGACAGAUAUAUUCUUUGUUUUCUAUUUGUUUAAGAGUGUUAUCUCCUUUACUACUUGUCACAGAUCUGUACUCGUGCUGUGUGCCCUUUACUACUUGUCACAGAUCUGUACUCGUGCUGUGUGCCCUUUACUACUUGUCACAGAUCUGUACUCGUGCUGUGUGCCCUUUACUACUUGUCACAGAUCUGUACUCGUGCUGUGUGCCCUUUACUACUUGUCACAGAUCUGUACUCGUGCUGUGUGCCCUUUACUACUUGUCACAGAUCUGUACUCGUGCUGUGUGCCCUUUACUACUUGUCACAGAUCUGUACUCGUGCUGUGUGCCCUUUACUACUUGUCACAGAUCUGUACUCGUGCUGUGUGCCCUUUACUACUUGUCACAGAUCUGUACUCGUGCUGUGUGCUCCUAAAGUCAGUGCUUUGUAUAUAUCAUUUGAUUGAUCUUACAAAGCUUUGUCUUUUAAUUAACAUAUUUAACGUAUUUAUGUUUCUAUAACAUGCUAUAGUCAAUAUAUUAAUCAUAGAUAAUUGUUGUAAAUAAUAUAUUAAUCAUAGUGCUUUGUAUUUAUACGAGGAACGAACUAUAAAUAAUACAAAAACACAUAAUGAUUUGUUUUUAUACUAUAAGUGCUUUAAUUGAUAAAUUAAACA